CAGCUACCUUGUCUCAGCAACACUCAAGUGGCCCUAGGGAGAGGUCUUAAACAGCAUCCUCCUGCCAAUAGCCAUCAAGGAACUGAGGCCCUUUGCCAUAGCCAUGAGUGCACCAUCAUGAGAGCAGUUCCCCGCCCCUAUCAAGCCUUGAGAUGACUGUAGCCCCAGCUGACUGCUCAACUGCAACCUCAUGAGAGACCUUCAACUAGGAUAACCUAGCUAAGCUAUUCUCAAAUUCCACAGAAACCAUGAAAUAACACAUGCUUUUGUUUUAACCAACUAAGCUUUGGUUAAUUUGUUACAGAGUAAUAGAUAACUAAUACAGCUGGCUUAGCAGGCAUGCAGAGUUUAGGGCUUUUCAUGUAGAUUACAAAAUUGCCUUCCUGAAAUGCUAUGCCAAUUUACACUCCCAUGGGUAGUUGCAUAAGAGUGCUCAUGUCCUCAGUCCUUCCUCUAGCUACAAUCAGGAUGCCUUUGAAGAAGUUAUUGUCCAACAGAUUUCCAUUUAAAGGAAAGGAUGUUUGUCAUGGUAAGUAAUUAAGCAACACAACAUUUCUUAGCUUCUAAGCGAAACCUUACUAGGUUAAGUGAUUUGCAGAAGGGGAAAUGUCAUCUUUUAUCUUAUUCUUUCAGAAGGAAUUGAUUCAACAGAAAAACUACAGGAGACCCCAAAUUGAAAUCAGCAAGAGACCUUUAAAUUGCACAGAAUCAAAUUUCUAAAAACAUAAUUCUACCUGUAUUGUUGAAAAUAGAGCUCAAAAAUCCAUUAGCUCUUUGCAUUUUCCCCCAUUUUUGUAAUUAUUGUUAUCGCUUCCUCUAUUGUGAAGUCUCUAUUAUGUGAAUCCCAUUGAGGGCUGCCUUUCCAUCACCAUCAGCUCAUUGGUGCUGUCAACAUAGAGCUCCCAGGAGGCCUCACUGAGAAUCUGCUGGAAAAGAAGGGAAAUGUGAGCUUGAGGAGUCUUGCUAGCAGUGAGUGUUGCCAUGCCCACUGGAGCUAUGCUUAACCUAAAGAUUUCAGGACUCUUUUGACCUACAAAAACAUCUCGAGCAGAACACUCAGGUUUUGCUAUCUUUUUCACACUUUUUUCCCCCAGGAACAUGACCAGCCACAUUUUAAUGGCCACAGAGAAAAUAAAAUCUUUUCC
RNAcentral lists this long non-coding RNA (1145 nucleotides) under Callithrix jacchus (white-tufted-ear marmoset). RNAcentral's name for it is "lncRNA (ENSCJAG00000057104.2)". Lineage: Eukaryota; Metazoa; Chordata; Mammalia; Primates; Cebidae. The record is from RNAcentral.